RNAcentral lists this ribosomal RNA (409 nucleotides) under uncultured bacterium. RNAcentral describes it as "bacterial SSU rRNA". It matches the Rfam family "Bacterial small subunit ribosomal RNA", at positions 30 to 436 of the family's 1533-position model. The record is from RNAcentral.
AUUGAACGCUGGCGGCAUGCCUUACACAUGCAAGUCGAACGGCAGCACGGACUUCGGUCUGGUGGCGAGUGGCGAACGGGUGAGUAAUGUAUCGGAACGUACCUUUCAGUGGGGGAUAACGUAGCGAAAGUUACGCUAAUACCGCAUAUUCUGUGAGCAGGAAAGCAGGGGAUCGCAAGACCUUGCGCUGAUUGAGCGGCCGAUAUCAGAUUAGCUAGUUGGUGAGGUAAAGGCUCACCAAGGCGACGAUCUGUAGCGGGUCUGAGAGGAUGAUCCGCCACACUGGAACUGAGACACGGUCCAGACUCCUACGGGAGGCAGCAGUGGGGAAUUUUGGACAAUGGGGGCAACCCUGAUCCAGCCAUGCCGCGUGAGUGAAGAAGGCCCUUCGGGUUGGUUAAAGGUACGU